This 301-nucleotide ribosomal RNA is filed under the name uncultured bacterium. Its description in RNAcentral is "partial 16S ribosomal RNA". It matches the Rfam family "Bacterial small subunit ribosomal RNA", at positions 509 to 810 of the family's 1533-position model. The record is from RNAcentral.
CAGCAGCCGCGGGAAUACGUAGGUGGCAAGCGUUGUCCGGAAUUAUUGGGCGUAAAGCGCGCGCAGGUGGUUUAAUAAGUCUGAAGUUAAAGGCUGUGGCUUAACCAUAGUACGCUUUGGAAACUGUUUAACUUGAGUGCAGAAGGGGAGAGUGGAAUUCCAUGUGUAGCGGUGAAAUGCGUAGAUAUAUGGAGGAACACCGGUGGCGAAAGCGGCUCUCUGGUCUGUAACUGACGCUGAGGCUCGAAAGCGUGGGGAGCAAACAGGAUUAGAGACCCCGGUAGUCCCUGUCUCUUAUAAA